RNAcentral lists this ribosomal RNA (475 nucleotides) under uncultured bacterium. RNAcentral describes it as "bacterial SSU rRNA". It matches the Rfam family "Bacterial small subunit ribosomal RNA", at positions 27 to 518 of the family's 1533-position model. The record is from RNAcentral.
GGACGAACGCUGGCGGCGUGCCUAACACAUGCAAGUCGAGCGAGGAGAUUCCUUCGGGAUGAUCCUAGCGGCGGACGGGUGAGUAACACGUGGGCAACCUGCCUCAUAGAGAGGAAUAGCCUUCCGAAAGGGAGAUUAAUACCUCAUAACAUUGCAGUUUCGCAUGAAACAGCAAUUAAAGGAGCAAUCCGCUAUGAGAUGGGCCCGCGGCGCAUUAGCUAGUUGGUGAGGUAACGGCUCACCAAGGCGACGAUGCGUAGCCGACCUGAGAGGGUGGUCGGCCACAUUGGGACUGAGACACGGCCCAGACUCCUACGGGAGGCAGCAGUGGGGAAUAUUGCACAAUGGGGGAAACCCUGAUGCCAGCAACGCCGCGUGAGUGAUGACGGCCUUCGGGUUGUAAAGCUCUGUCUUCAGGGACGAUAAUGACGGUACCUGAGGAGGAAGCCACGGCUAACUACGUGCCAGCCGCCGC